GAUGAACGCUGGCGGCGUGCUUAACACAUGCAAGUCGAACGGAAAGGCCCAAGCUUGCUUGGGUACUCGAGUGGCGAACGGGUGAGUAACACGUGGGUGAUCUGCCCUGCACUUCGGGAUAAGCCUGGGAAACUGGGUCUAAUACCGGAUAGGACCACUUCUUGGAUGUUGUGGUGGAAAGUUUUUUCGGUGUGGGAUGAGCUCGCGGCCUAUCAGCUUGUUGGUGGGGUAAUGGCCUACCAAGGCGUCGACGGGUAGCCGGCCUGAGAGGGUGUACGGCCACAUUGGGACUGAGAGACGGCCCAGACUCCUACGGGAGGCAGCAGUGGGGAAUAUUGCACAAUGGGCGCAAGCCUGAUGCAGCGACGCCGCGUGGGGGAUGACGGCCUUCGGGUUGUAAACUCCUUUCGCUAGGGACGAAGCGUUUUGUGACGGUACCUGGAGAAGAAGCACCGGCUAACUACGUG
This 467-nucleotide ribosomal RNA is filed under the name uncultured bacterium. Its description in RNAcentral is "partial 16S ribosomal RNA". It matches the Rfam family "Bacterial small subunit ribosomal RNA", at positions 28 to 507 of the family's 1533-position model. The record is from RNAcentral.